This 515-nucleotide ribosomal RNA is filed under the name uncultured bacterium. RNAcentral's name for it is "bacterial SSU rRNA". It matches the Rfam family "Bacterial small subunit ribosomal RNA", at positions 15 to 518 of the family's 1533-position model. The record is from RNAcentral.
GAUCCUGGCUCAGGAUGAACGCUAGCUACAGGCUUAACACAUGCAAGUCGAGGGGCAUCAUUGGGAUAGCUUGCUAUUCAGAUGGCGACCGGCGCACGGGUGAGUAACGCGUAUCCAACCUUCCCCUUAGUAGGGCAUAGCCCGGCGAAAGUCGGAUUAAUACCCUAUGUUGUAUAUUGAGGACAUCUGAUUUAUACCAAAGAUUCAUCGCUAAGGGAUGGGGAUGCGUCCGAUUAGGUAGUCGGCGGGUAACGGCCCACCGAGCCAUCGAUCGGUAGGGGUUCUGAGAGGAAGGUCCCCCACACUGGUACUGAGACACGGACCAGACUCCUACGGGAGGCAGCAGUGAGGAAUAUUGGUCAAUGGGCGAGAGCCUGAACCAGCCAAGUAGCGUGCAGGAAGACCGGCCCUAUGGGUUAGUAAACUGUCUUUUAUCAGGGGAUAAAGUGAGGGACGUGUCCCUUAUUGCAGGUACCUGAUGAAUAAGGACCGGCUAAUUCCGUGCCAGCCGCGGC